UCUUGGUCAUUUAGAGGAAGUAAAAGUCGUAACAAGGUCUCCGUAGGUGAACCUGCGGAGGGAUCAUUACAGAGUUCAUGCCCUUACGGGUAGAUCUCCCACCCUGUGUUAUUAUUACCUUUGUUGCUUUGGCGGGCCGCCCGGCUUCGGCCAGGCUACCGGCUCCGGCUGGUAAGCGCCCGCCAGAGGACCCAAAACCCUGAAUGUUAGUGUCGUCUGAGUACUAUAUAAUAGUUAAAACUUUCAACAACGGAUCUCUUGGUUCUGGCAUCGAUGAAGAACGCAGCGAAAUGCGAUAAGUAAUGUGAAUUGCAGAAUUCAGUGAAUCAUCGAAUCUUUGAACGCACAUUGCGCCCCUUGGUAUUCCGAGGGGCAUGCCUGUUCGAGCGUCAUUACAACCCUCAAGCAAUGCUUGGUAUUGGGCCCCGCCGCUCACCCGGCGGGCUCUAAAAUCAGUGGCGGUGCCGUCGGGCUCUGAGCGUAGUAAUUCUUCUCGCUAUAGGGUCCCGGUGGAUGCUGGCCAACAACCCCCAAUUUUCUAUGGUUGACCUCGGAUCAGGUAGGGAUACCCGCUGAACUUAAGCAUAUCAAUAAGCGGAGGA
RNAcentral lists this ribosomal RNA (602 nucleotides) under Leptodontidium sp. Sib5-8-1. RNAcentral describes it as "eukaryotic LSU rRNA". The stretch from base 239 to 392 matches the Rfam family "5.8S ribosomal RNA". The record is from RNAcentral. Lineage: Eukaryota; Fungi; Ascomycota; Leotiomycetes; Helotiales; Leptodontidiaceae.